CGGGUACUGCCCGGUGCGCGCCUUGAGUUAUCCCUGAGGCGAUAUAAUCCCAUUGGGAGCUGUCCCUGCCCCGGCCCUGGCCGGACGCACACGGCGCCCACCUGACGUUUGUGGCGUCAGAGGAUUUCCGGCAAACGGCCAUGGUGGUCCCGUC
This 154-nucleotide non-coding RNA is filed under the name Sphingomonas xanthus. RNAcentral's name for it is "6S / SsrS RNA". It matches the Rfam family "6S / SsrS RNA". Rfam says of the family: E. coli 6S RNA was the first non coding RNA to be sequenced, but its function was unknown until recently. It consists of 184 nucleotides that fold into an extended hairpin structure with a large single-stranded internal bulge. The record is from Rfam by way of RNAcentral. Lineage: Bacteria; Pseudomonadati; Pseudomonadota; Alphaproteobacteria; Sphingomonadales; Sphingomonadaceae.